This is a long non-coding RNA of Bombus pyrosoma, 2279 nucleotides long. RefSeq lists it as uncharacterized. Lineage: Eukaryota; Metazoa; Arthropoda; Insecta; Hymenoptera; Apidae. The transcript is spliced from 4 exons. The record is from RefSeq and is a predicted model, not a curated record.
GCUGCGCCUAACGAACCGAAAUGAUACCUACCAGUCGUCGCGUGUGUACACGUAUACGCAUAGAUGCGCGGCGGAGAAGUGGUGUGACCGUUACACAGUUAUACACGAACACGUGUCUCCGCGGAGAGCGAGAAGAGAGCAGCAGUCUCGCUUAAUGCUCGGGCAUUAACGUUAAUUGAUGGAUUGUUUUUAAUAUUUACGCUUCGUUUCUCCUUCUACCCUUCUCCAUCUUCUCUCAUAGUGAUGCCUGCUUCUUCCUUUUGCUUGUUCGUUUCCUUCGUAUAACGCUAUCUCUGUCUUUCUUGCGUUACAUAUAGGGCAAACACUGUACGGUCCUAUUCCCUGUAUCUUUUUCUCGGCGUCCACAGUUGACCACGUUUUGUACCAGCACAUAGAUAUUUCAGUAUGUCAUCCGUGUAUAUGUACGCUUGCACACCAUUGUAUACGUGAAAGCAUGUACAUACUUACUCGUAGUAGGUAUAUACGCGUCUAUCGUACGGAGCAGCACGAAGACACGUCGGCGACCAAGAGAGCUUGACGACGACGAGACGACGAUGGCAGCGGCGACGAAGACAACGGAAAAGACGACGAAGACGACUACGACGACGUCGGAACAACACGAUCAUACGCGUAUAUAGCGGGAGAAGAUCGGACGAGAGCGAGAUGGAGAGGGGAAAAAAGGAGAGAAGAGAAGCCUGUGAGAUAGCCGUGCAGCCGACACAUACGGUAGUCGCAGAUCGGCGAGGCAGACAAGGGACUCGAGCAAGCAAAAUGGAGGGCAGGCGAGCGUGGAAUAUAAAAGGAGGAACGUGAAUUCAUAUCUCGUCCGGGGGAUCUCGCUGCUUUGCUGCUGAGAGACUGUUUUCGCGGGACAGAGAGAAAGCGACCAAACGAUGAACAGAGAUACGUUGAUGGAGAAGGGUGAGUAGGGUGAAAGAGAAAGAAGGAUUGAAGAGCCGAGAGGCAAGGAAAGACUGCGAGAAGGAGAAUGAGAGACUCGAGAACAGCCGGCCGUGGUUGCUAUCGUAUCUGUCACGAGUGCAACGAUGACGUUUGAAUAUCCCGCCGAUAGAGAAACAGAGAAGGAACAUGGUUAUCGUAUAAGCGGGACGAAAACGACAAUCUGUUCGUAACGAGUGGAACGAGGAUGGAGGAUACAGUCCGCGUGGAGUAGCCGUCGAAACGUCGAGAGAAUCGACCAAUGAGCGCGCAGCUCCGACCAAUCGGAUGGCGAGUUACGAAUCCGCGCUUGACUACUACGUAGUCUCAUCUCUCACCCGGGCCAGUCGUUCCCGAACCACGUAAGGAGGUAGUCUCUUUUGUCUCGCGGAGCUGUGAAUACACGAUGCGUAUACACAAUGGUCCCUGCUAAGGAUACCGCCGUGUACUCUGCCGUGUAGGCAGAUGAGAAGCAGAGGCGAGCAGUGUCGUAGAGCUGAUGGCUGCGACGUUAUCACCGUAAUGGACGGCUGGCCCACAAAAGUUUAAACAUCAACAGAUAGCACCAAGACAAGCAGACUUUCGUUUGUGAUUUGCAAGAAUCACGGUCGCAAAAAUAUGAGCGUACUGACCGCAAACUAGAACCUGAGCACUCCAUUUGCAAAUAUUCCUCGGGUUCUUGGAAGUUUCCAAAGGCUCUUAAAAAGAAACGACCACAGUAGGGCAAGUCGUUUUGCAAAGUGUUUGUUCUUCGUCCUGGAUUCGAAUCUAAAAGAUUAAAAAAUAGCAAAAUGUGUUUAAGAAUAUUGUUAUAAUAGCCGGUGCCGUUUGGCUCUUCCAUCUGCCUUUUCUAAACACGUCAUCGAUGACUUUGAGAAACUGAAACAGAAAAGAGGAACGAUCUUGAGCAACGACGUGAAAUCGUCGAAUUUAUUUAGCCGCGCUUCCUCUAGAGUUAUUUUCAUCACUUGGAAUUCACUCAAAACGACAAACUCUAAGCUACAAAUACACCCUUUGGCCAAGAUACUAGGAAAUAUCAUCGAUCAAGCGUUUAAUAAACAUUGACUAAGCAAUGACUCAUUCUCUAAUGAUAGUAAAUUUACUCUUUCCUUUUCAUACUUCGCUCAAUGUUACAUUUCCACGGUAAGGUCGAUUCGUACUUUAACUUCCAAGAAAGUAGCAUAAAGUUUAAUCAAACUACUACCAAUAUUAUCUGCAUUUCAGUUUUAUUCAUUAUAUAUCACUACAAUAUGUUCAGAUUAUUAAGUAACAAAUAGAAACAAUUUAAAUUAAUUAGCCAAAUUCUUCGUCGAUACCUGCUUCUAUUGUACCUAUUCUCC